This 136-nucleotide microRNA precursor is filed under the name Hordeum vulgare. RNAcentral describes it as "microRNA MIR1122". It matches the Rfam family "MIR1120/MIR1122 microRNA precursor family". Lineage: Eukaryota; Viridiplantae; Streptophyta; Magnoliopsida; Poales; Poaceae. The record is from RNAcentral.
UAUAUACUCCCUCCGUCCCAAAAGUAUUAUCUUAGAUUUGUCUAGAUAUAAAUGUAUCUAGUAACGUUUUAGUAAUUAGAUACAUCUUUUUCUAGACAAACCUAAGACAAGAAUUUUGGGACGGAGGGAGUAUUUG